ACAUAGCACUGUGGAACCACCCGAUCCCAUCCCGAACUCGGAAGUGAAACGCAGACGCGCCGAUGGUAGUGUGCCCCGCGCAUGCGAGAGUAGGUCAUCGCCAGGG
Molecule: ribosomal RNA, 106 nt
Filed under: Gammaproteobacteria bacterium
Lineage: Bacteria; Pseudomonadati; Pseudomonadota; Gammaproteobacteria
Source: RNAcentral